Molecule: ribosomal RNA, 253 nt
Filed under: uncultured bacterium
Lineage: Bacteria
Description: partial 16S ribosomal RNA
Rfam family: Bacterial small subunit ribosomal RNA
Source: RNAcentral
UACGUAGGGCGCAAGCGUUGUCCGGAAUUAUUGGGCGUAAAGCGCGUGUAGGCGGCCUUGCAAGUCGGGUGUGAAAGCCCUCAGCUCAACUGAGGAAGCGCGCCCGAAACUGCAGAGCUUGAGUACCGGAGAGGAUGGCGGAAUUCCCCAAGUAGAGGUGAAAUUCGUAGAUAUGGGGAGGAACACCGGUGGCGAAGGCGGCCAUCUGGACGGAUACUGACGCUGAGACGCGAAAGCGUGGGGAGCAAACAGG